GUUGGUCAAGCGGUUAAGACACCGCCCUUUCACGGCGGUAUCACGGGUUCGAAUCCCGUACGGGUCA
This 67-nucleotide transfer RNA is filed under the name Brochothrix thermosphacta. RNAcentral's name for it is "tRNA-Glu". It matches the Rfam family "tRNA". Rfam says of the family: Transfer RNA (tRNA) molecules are approximately 80 nucleotides in length. The record is from RNAcentral. Lineage: Bacteria; Bacillati; Bacillota; Bacilli; Caryophanales; Listeriaceae.